Molecule: long non-coding RNA, 662 nt
Organism: Saccostrea echinata
Lineage: Eukaryota; Metazoa; Mollusca; Bivalvia; Ostreida; Ostreidae
Exons: 3
Source: RefSeq, a predicted model, not a curated record
AAUGCCAGUCUUCAGUGAAUGAAAACAUCGUCCAGACUUGACCUUAACUUCAAAACAAACGGAAGCGGAAUUUAUCCUGGACAAGAUUGGUAUAGGAUUGGGUGUCAGUGGAACGCUGUUGCUGAUUGGUUGUUUAUGCCAUCAUUACCUUUGCUUUAAAAGGCGAAAAAUGUCUGAGCAGUCCCAUGUUCGUACCACAACAGACAUUCACUUUACCCCAGAUGACGUCACUGAUGGUGUGACAAUGAGACCUAUAUCUAGACCUUCUCGUGAGAACCAUAGAAGUACAGUGCAGUCCAGCUACCGAUAUGUCGGAAAAGAGAGCGAGAUUGUAAAUGUUAAUUGUGUACGAGAACUACCUGCUUCAGAAAUGUCGGAAGAUUUUAAUUCAAGUUUCGGAAGAACAGCAAAUCCAAAGGAUCAAAACACCAAACAAAAUAGUGAGUGGAAGGACACUAGUUAUGUUGGAGAAUUAUUUUCUCCACCGAGGUCGAGGACGUGCUUCGGUUAUCAGAAAACAUCUAUUAGUACAACUGUGUAAAGCUAAUGCCAUCACAAACACUGAUCUUAAAGGGCAAUGUGAUAUGUCAUUAUGGCAGUAAAUAUAUUUGGACUAUUAAUACUUUAAGGGUUCUUGUCUUCUGUAUUAAGGUGCAUAAACU